RNAcentral lists this ribosomal RNA (454 nucleotides) under uncultured bacterium. RNAcentral describes it as "partial 16S ribosomal RNA". It matches the Rfam family "Bacterial small subunit ribosomal RNA", at positions 28 to 507 of the family's 1533-position model. The record is from RNAcentral.
GAUGAACGCUGACAGAAUGCUUAACACAUGCAAGUCUACUUGAACUUCGGUUUGGGUGGCGGACGGGUGAGUAACGCGUACAGAACUUGCCUCACAGAUAGGGACAACAUUUGGAAACGAAUGCUAAUACCUGAUAUUAUGAUUUUAGGGCAUCCUAGAAUUAUGAAAGCUAUAUGCACUGUGAGAGAGCUUUGCGUCCCAUUAGCUAGUUGGAGAGGUAACGGCUCACCAAGGCGAUGAUGGGUAGCCGGCCUGAGAGGGUGAUCGGCCACAAGGGGACCGGGGCACGGCCCUUACUCCUACGGGAGGCAGCAGUGGGGAAUAUUGGACAAUGGACCAAGAGUCUGAUCCAGCAAUUCUGUGUGCACGAUGAAGUUUUUCGGAAUGUAAAGUGCUUUCAGUUGGGAAGAAAAAAAUGACGGUACCAACAGAAGAAGUGACGGCUAAAUACGUG